RNAcentral lists this ribosomal RNA (427 nucleotides) under uncultured bacterium. Its description in RNAcentral is "bacterial SSU rRNA". It matches the Rfam family "Bacterial small subunit ribosomal RNA", at positions 355 to 774 of the family's 1533-position model. The record is from RNAcentral.
UGGGGAAUAUUGGACAAUGGGCGCAAGCCUGAUCCAGCAAUGCCGCGUGUGUGAAGAAGGCCUUCGGGUUGUAAAGCACUUUUAUCAGGAGCGAAAUGCCAUUGGUUAAUACCCGGUGGAGCUGACGGUACCUGAGGAAUAAGCACCGGCUAACUUCGUGCCAGCAGCCGCGGUAAUACGAAGGGUGCAAGCGUUAAUCGGAAUUACUGGGCGUAAAGGGUGCGUAGGCGGUUCGUUAAGUCUGUUGUGAAAUCCCCGGGCUCAACCUGGGAAUGGCAAUGGAUACUGGCGAGCUAGAGUGUGUCAGAGGAUGGUGGAAUUCCCGGUGUAGCGGUGAAAUGCGUAGAGAUCGGGAGGAACAUCAGUGGCGAAGGCGGCCAUCUGGGACAACACUGACGCUGACGCACGAAAGCGGGGGGAGCAAACA